This 3853-nucleotide long non-coding RNA is filed under the name Olea europaea subsp. europaea. The record is from RNAcentral. Lineage: Eukaryota; Viridiplantae; Streptophyta; Magnoliopsida; Lamiales; Oleaceae.
GCAGUAUAUACAUUAAGGCAACAUAAUAGAUGAAUGAAGCUAAUAUACGUAGAAAAAAAAAUGUCUAUGCUCUAGCAAGGAGGAAUCUGAAACAAAUACCUUCAGUAGCAAGGAGAAAUUUUGUCUUGUCUACUUGAGCUUAGACGAAAAGAGAGAAGCAAUCAAAUUUUUCCUUCUUACUUUUCCGAAACUGUUAACUUACUGCAAUUCAGGAACCAAAGUAGAUUCUGAAUAGUAACUCUUCUGGUGUUUCUCCAAUAAUGUCAAGGAGAGAGAAAAUUAAGACAUCUGAGCAAAAUACCAUUUCAAGGUCAAUCUCCGUAAAAUAGCCAAUACAAAUUAUCUGCAACCCAUCAUAAAAUCUCAUGCUUUGCAAAAGUCUCAACAUCCUUCCCUCCCUUGAACUCCAAAAUCAAAAUAAGUUUGUUUUCCAUAAUCCCUUAAUGACUUCUCGCCCGAUAGUUGGAAUUUAACAGAACUGGAGCUUUUGCUCGACAAGCACCAUAUUUAUACUUGAAUACGUCAAUUAAUGAAGAGAGUGGUUCAAUUCCUGUUAAUAUCAAGAUCAAUUGAUAGUCUGGAGAGCAUAUACAUUUAUUCUUAAUCAAGCAUAUAAGAUCCAGAUUUCAUCAAUGCAUUUAAUCUUUUCAAGAGUGCAAGUAUUUCACCAGAAUUAGGACGAGAUUUAUGACCUCCAACUAUAUCCAGGAAACUUUUUAACUCCUCUUUCUUGCAUUUUUGUCCUCACUGAAUUAACCCCCUCCCAGUUGCCUGAUUCCGCAUAUAUAUUGGAAAGCAGCACAUAUGGAGAAGAAUUUUGUGGUUGCAACUGAAUAAGCUUUUCUGCUGCAUACUGCCCUCUUACGUCAUCCCCGUGCAAUCUGCAUGCACCGAGAUAUGUGGACCAUAACAUAGCAUCAGGCUCAAAGUCUAGGUUGACAAUGAACUCCUCUGCUUCUUUGAGAAAACCCCAACGCCCAAAAAGGUCAAUCAUGCAAGCACAGUGAUCUAUUCGUGGACGAACCCCAUAACAAUGAAUCAUAUUAUUAAAUAUUUUUUGACCUUCGAAUACCAUUCCUGCAUGAUUACAUGCAGUAAGAACACCAAGGAAUGUGACUUCGUCAGGUUUUACAUGCGCCUGAUUCAUCUCUUCAAAGAUCUUAAGAGCAUUUUCCGCAUAACCAUUUUUUGCAUAUCCAACAAUGAUUGAGUUCCAUGAAAUAACGUCUUUCUUGCUAACCAUUUCACCAAAAACAUGUGCUGAACUUCUCAUAUCCCCACAUUUAGCAUACAUAUCUACAAGCGCACUGCCUAUCAGCUCAUCUUCAUUAUAAGCAGUACGAAAGAUUAAAGAGUGCAUUUUCCUGCCAUCCUCCAAAGAUGCUAACAUAGAGCAUGCUCUAAGUACACUUGCAAAUGUCGCUUGGUCUGGCUUCGCAUUAUGAUGACACAUUUCACUAUACCAAAAUAAUGCAUUCUCACAACAGUCAUUUUGAAUGCUUCCUGAUAUCAUAGCAGUCCAAAUUAUUGUGCUUUUUGGAUAAGGAAGCUCGCAGAAAAAAAUGUUUGCAUCUGUCAUUUUUUGAGCAUUCAUGUACAUGCCCAAGACCGAGACGGCUAUAAAUUCAUCAUGAUGUGCAAGACCUAGUUUUAAAAUAGAACAGUGAAUUUGCUUUCCGAAAUGCAGAUUAGUGUCACCAGUGCAUGAUUCCAAAAGGGUGGCGAAAGUGACUUCUGAUGGCCUCAGUCCACCAGCCAGCAUAUUCUGAAAUAUAUUUACAGCUUCAACUAAGUUUACUUGAGCAUAACCAGCAAUCAGAGCAUUUGUGCAUGCCACGCUUCUUUCAGUCAUGCAUGAAAACACUUUAAUUGCAGAUCCAAUUAUUCCACACUUGCAAUAAAAGUCAAUUAGCGAGCCGCAAGCAUAAAGAGCUCUUUCUAGACCAUAUUUUACCAAAAAACAGUGUACUUGUGUACCCUUAUAAAGAUCUUGUAAAUUUGCCGUAGCACUGAGUAUGCUAGCUAAGGAUACCUCGUCAGGUGCAAUCCCCUCUGACAUCAUUCUACGGAACAAAGAAAAAGCUCCUUCCUCUUCUUCUUCCUGCACAUAUCCAACAAUGAUUGCAUUCCAAGAAACAUGAUCUCGACUUUUGAUUAGCUCAAAUUGCUUCCUUGAGUUGGCCAGAGCCCCGCACUUAGCAUACAUAUCUACUAGAGCAUUUCCUACAAAUAAGUUUUGUUCAAAUUUGUUCUUGAUUAUAACCGAAUGUAACUGGGACCCUGUUUCUAUAUUUCCUAAACAAGCACAAGCACUCAAAGCACUAGUGUAGGUAUAUUCAUCAGGAUGAAAUCCGCAGAUUCUCAUAUUCAAAAAUAACUCUAGAACCUCACAAGCAUACCCAUUCUGUGCAUAACCUCCAAGUAAUGCGUUCCAUAGCACAUCAUUUUUCUCUCCCAGUCCAUUGAACACUUCCUUUGCAGCUUCCAUUUUCUGACAUUUGGCAUACAUACUAAUCAAAGAACUUCCAACAUAAACAUUAGAAUCCAGCCCCAGCUUCAUUGCCAAACCAUGAACCUGCAGGCCAUAUUCAUAGUUUACUAAGUAUGCAAUAGCACUCAAAACACUUCCUAGUGUGGAACGUGUUGGUUUGAAAUCAGCUUUGAUCAUAUUUCGGAGAAGUCCAAUAGCUUCCCCCUCAUGACCACCCUUGGCAUGCCCUGAUAUAAGUACAUUCCACGCAACAAUGUUUGGAUUAGGCAUUUGAGAAAACAAAUGGCACGCAUCAUCAAGGCAUCCUAACUUCACACAUGCAUUUAUGGUGGUUACAAAUGCUACCUGAUCCGGCAUGUGACUUCCUGUUCUCAUCUCCUCAAACAUUUCCAUUGCCUGCUCAAGCAGACCAACUUGAACAUACCCCGAGAUCAUGGCAGUACACGAAACUGUGUCGUGGUCGGUAGCCCCAUCAAAUAUUUUCCUAGCAUCUUCAAUGUACCCACAUUUCGAGUACAUAUCAAUCAAAGAACCCUCACAAAAUGCAUCAACUUCAAAUCCCAUUUUUACCACCCCACAAUGCACUUGCUUCCCAGACUUCAAGUCCAUCAACUUUGCACAAGCAGAUAAAACAAUUGCACAACUGAACUGAUUCCCCAGCACCCCUCGAUUCCACAUGGACCCAAAAGCCUCCACAACACUUUCCAAGAACCCGUUACGCGAAUAUAUGAACAUAAUCGAAUUCCAUGCCAUUUUAUCCCUUUCCUCUAGGCGUAAAAAUACCCUUUCCGCAUAAUCAAUGUGGCCACAUUUUGAAUACAAGUCCAAAAUUGCAUUCCCCAAAUUCCCUUUGGAGGAAAUCCCAAGUUUCAAACUCAGGGCAUGGACAAUUUUGCCAGUCUUUAAAGAAAGACCGAGUCUUUUUGGCAUUUCCUCGAACACUUGGCGGGACUGGACAAUCUGGCAUUGCUGCAAACACAUGUUCAACAAAGAAUUGUAUAAACUAUGUUCUUCUGUUAGAGAAUUAUAAAUUUGAAAGCCUUUUGCUGUGGUUGUCGAGAAAUUGAGAUGGCGAUUCAAUAAUUUUGAAUUUGCAAUAAGCCGUGGGAGUUUGAUACGAAAUGUGCAACGCAUUAGAUAUGUAACUUGAAUAGAAGAAUAAGAUUUUUUUCAUAAGCGAUUACUUUUAACAGUUUUUCAAUCAUAUGGGGAAAAUGUUUACGCAUGCCAAUGAAUUUUGGAGAAUCAGGGAUUAGUCCCAAAUUUGAUUUAAAUUGACUGAAAUAUUAUGAACUGACAAAUUAGAAAUUUAUUUGUCAAAAAAAAUUAAAAAGAAAUGAGCAAGAACUUGACAACUCGACU